CCCCUAGAUGUUCUGGGCCGCACGCGCGCUACACUGAACAGUUCAACAAGUCUUAACCUUGGCCGAUAGGUCUGGGUAAUCUUUGAACGCUGUUCGUGAUUGGGAUAGACCUUUGCAAUUAUGGGUCUUCAACGAGGAAUUCCUAGUAAACGCAAGUCAUCAGCUUGCAUUGAUUACGUCCCUGCCCUUUGUACACACCGCCCGUCGCACCUACCGAUUGAAUGGUCCGGUGAAGCCUCGGGAUUGUGGCCAGUUCACUUUAUUGGGAGUUGGCUGUGAGAACUUGUCUAAACCUUAUCAUUUAGAGGAAGGUGAAGUCGUAACA
Molecule: ribosomal RNA, 325 nt
Filed under: uncultured eukaryote
Lineage: Eukaryota
Description: partial 18S ribosomal RNA
Rfam family: Eukaryotic small subunit ribosomal RNA
Source: RNAcentral